Non-coding RNA from Pteronotus mesoamericanus, 416 nucleotides. The record is from the annotation of a RefSeq genome assembly. NCBI's taxonomy places the organism in Eukaryota, Metazoa, Chordata, Mammalia, Chiroptera, Mormoopidae.
AGGUCUCUGAGGAAGGCAGGGCUGUGCUCUACAAGAUGAUAUUGUUAGGUUUUCUCCUGUGCCUGGUGACAGGUCUCCAGGGUGUACUGUCCCAAGUGCAGCUGCAGGAGUCGGGCCCAGGACUGGUGAAACCCUCACAGACCCUCUCCCUUACCUGCACUGUCUCUGGGUUCUCAUUAACAAGCUCUCAUGUGCACUGGGCCCGCCAGGCUCCAGAGAAGGGGCUGAAAUGGGUCGGUGUCAUAUGGAGUGCUGGAAGUACAGAGUACCACCCAGCGCUGAAAUCUCGGCUCAGCAUCACCAGGGACACCUCCAAGAGCCAAGUGUAUUUAACACUGAACCGCCUGAGAACUGAUGACAUAGCCAUUUAUUACUGUGCAACAAGCACAGCGAGGGGAAGUCAGUGUGAGCCUUGA